Molecule: ribosomal RNA, 218 nt
Filed under: uncultured bacterium
Lineage: Bacteria
Description: partial 16S ribosomal RNA
Rfam family: Bacterial small subunit ribosomal RNA
Source: RNAcentral
ACGCUCGACACCUACGGGAAGCAGCAGUGAGGAAUAUUGGUCAAUGGGCGCUAGCCUGAACCAGCCAAGUAGCGUGAAGGAUGAAGGCUCUAUGGGUCGUAAACUUCUUUUAUAUAAGAAUAAAGUGCAGUAUGUAUACUGUUUUGUAUGUAUUAUAUGAAUAAGGAUCGGCUAACUCCGUGCUAGCAGCCGCGGUAAUCUGAGCGGGCUGGCAAGGC